AACGAACGCUGGCGGCAUGCCUAACACAUGCAAGUCGAACGAGACCUUCGGGUCUAGUGGCGCACGGGUGCGUAACGCGUGGGAACCUGCCCUUAGGUUCGGAAUAACUCCCCGAAAGGGGUGCUAAUACCGGAUAAUGUCUUCGGACCAAAGAUUUAUCGCCUUUGGAUGGGCCCGCGUUGGAUUAGCUAGUUGGUAGGGUAAAAGCCUACCAAGGCGACGAUCCAUAGCUGGUCUGAGAGGAUGAUCAGCCACACUGGGACUGAGACACGGCCCAGACUCGAGGGGGGGGAAGCGGUGGAGAAUGUGAGGCAGGGGGAAAAGGCCUGAGCAGGCAAAGGGGUGUGGGGGCGGAGGGGGUGGGGGUGGAAAAGUCUUUGGACCGGGAAUAAAAAAGACAGGGCAGGAAGAAAAAGCUCCGACGAACGCCGGGCAAGCAGCGGAGGUAAUAAUGGGAAGAGCACACGCUGGGAC
This 474-nucleotide ribosomal RNA is filed under the name uncultured bacterium. RNAcentral describes it as "partial 16S ribosomal RNA". The stretch from base 16 to 340 matches the Rfam family "Bacterial small subunit ribosomal RNA", at positions 43 to 396 of the family's 1533-position model. The record is from RNAcentral.